RNAcentral lists this ribosomal RNA (486 nucleotides) under uncultured bacterium. RNAcentral describes it as "partial 16S ribosomal RNA". It matches the Rfam family "Bacterial small subunit ribosomal RNA", at positions 30 to 507 of the family's 1533-position model. The record is from RNAcentral.
AUUGAACGCUGGCGGCAUGCCUUACACAUGCAAGUCGAACGGCAGCACGGGUGCUUGCACCUGGUGGCGAGUGGCGAACGGGUGAGUAAUACAUCGGAACAUGUCCUUUAGUGGGGGAUAGCCCGGCGAAAGCCGGAUUAAUACCGCAUACGAUCUACGGAUGAAAGCGGGGGACCUUCGGUCCUCGCGCUAUAGGGUUGGCCGAUGGCUGAUUAGCUAGUUGGUGGGGUAAAGGCCUACCAAGGCGACGAUCAGUAGCUGGUCUGAGAGGACGACCAGCCACACUGGGACUGAGACACGGCCCAGACUCCUACGGGAGGCAGCAGUGGGGAAUUUUGGACAAUGGGCGAAAGCCUGAUCCAGCAAUGCCGCGUGUGUGAAGAAGGCCUUCGGGUUGUAAAGCACUUUUGUCCGGAAAGAAAUCCUUGGCCCUAAUACGGUCGGGGGAUGACGGUACCGGAAGAAUAAGCACCGGCUAACUACGUG